This 373-nucleotide ribosomal RNA is filed under the name uncultured Thiobacillus sp. RNAcentral's name for it is "bacterial SSU rRNA". It matches the Rfam family "Bacterial small subunit ribosomal RNA", at positions 1005 to 1382 of the family's 1533-position model. Lineage: Bacteria; Pseudomonadati; Pseudomonadota; Betaproteobacteria; Nitrosomonadales; Thiobacillaceae. The record is from RNAcentral.
GAUGGCUUGGUGCCGAAAGGGAAUCGGAACACAGGUGCUGCAUGGCUGUCGUCAGCUCGUGUCGUGAGAUGUUGGGUUAAGUCCCGCAACGAGCGCAACCCUUAUCAUUAGUUGCUACGCAAGGGCACUCUAAUGAGACUGCCGGUGACAAACCCGGAGGAAGGUGGGGAUGACGUCAAGUCCUCAUGGCCCUUAUGGGUAGGGCUUCACACGUCAUACAAUGGUCGGUACAGAGGGUUGCCAAGCCGCGAGGCGGAGCCAAUCCCACAAAGCCGAUCGUAGUCCGGAUUGUUCUCUGCAACUCGAGAGCAUGAAGUCGGAAUCGCUAGUAAUCGCAGGUCAGCAUACUGCGGUGAAUACGUUCCCGGGUCUU